GCAUGCGACAUGUAUACUUUUCCUCUAAAGAGUGAUCUGUGUCAAGUGUGCGCCAUGAACACAUAGAUCCUACGAAGGAGAAUCAUAUGAUAGCGUUACAAGGAGAAGGUGGGCAUGGUGAUGGUACGGGCUGGGUUAAGGGAGCUACAGAAAAUAUGUUGGUGAAUGGCGUCAAUCAACCAAAUCAGGAGAUGGAUGAGAAUUCCAGAAAAAGGAACGUGCUGAUUUUGAAGAAAAGAACCCUGAACCAAAAAGACCGAAAGCCACGAAAUAUCACAGCUUUCGUGUUUGGAAGUAAAAGAGGAAAACUCGGCAAAAAGGAAAAAGAUCACCAGACUGAGAAAAAGAGGUUUGAAGAGUGUCGGCGAGUGUAGGCAUAGUAAGAAGUAUCUCCGAUUCCCCACAUAUCCGAAGAUACACAUCAGAAGAAAAAAUUAUAGCUUUGUCGAUCUUUAAACAAUCCCCGAAAUGCUACAAAAUUUAUGAGGAAAUUUUUCCCUCUGCCCAGUCUAACAGUAUUACGGAAAAUGUUGCAAAACAUCCCAAUGGACGCAGGAGUCACCGAAGAAACCAAACGACGAUUGGCAGAAGCCAUACAAGGUUGCAAAACGGAGAAAGAAAAAUUUACGUUUGUCAUAUGGAUCUGUCCGGGUUGUGGAUUAUUUUAUGAUAAGGCCACUGACAAAGUAGUCGGUUUCGAGGAGUGGGGAAAUGUGAGGACCGAGAAAUAUGUGGAUCACGCUCUAGUCUUUAGGAUGCGCAUGAUCGGGUCUGGAGACAAGUUUCCUCUCACUUUUAAUUUUUGUAGUAGGCAGACUACCACAUCUCAAUUAAUAACUGGCAUGAAGGAUGUCGUACGUGCAAUCAAGGAAGCUGGUUUUACAGUUGUGGCGACAGUUUGUGAUUGUGGUUCCAGUAACCAGGCGGCUAUAAAAACCCUUUUCCAGGAUGCAAUAAGACUAAAAGGAGAGGAUUAUGUCUACAGAAGUGGUCUCUCAUCAAAACUUAUAGGAAACACCGCCUCUUUACCAAAUACUAUCAUAUAAGGGGCAAACCCAGUACCUUCAUGGACAGCUGUAUUAUAGGCAAAAACAGUAAAUCGAAGCCAUUCAUCCCAAUUGUGUGGACCAUCAAAAUGUCGUCAGUAUUCAAUUAGAGUAUGAUGACUACGCUCGAGUAAUCCAAGACUUUGAGGAAUCUUCAAUAUCAUCAUCUGAAGUGCUGGGGAACAUCGUCACGACAUCUUUACGACAUCCUAUGU
RNA transcript from Belonocnema kinseyi, 1261 nucleotides. RefSeq lists it as uncharacterized. The transcript is spliced from 6 exons. The record is from RefSeq and is a predicted model, not a curated record. Lineage: Eukaryota; Metazoa; Arthropoda; Insecta; Hymenoptera; Cynipidae.